RNAcentral lists this transfer RNA (71 nucleotides) under Chaetoceros tenuissimus. RNAcentral describes it as "tRNA-Gly". Lineage: Eukaryota; Bacillariophyta; Thalassiosirophyceae; Chaetocerotales; Chaetocerotaceae. The record is from RNAcentral.
UGCACCUUACGGGAAUCGAACCCAUGGCAAAUGCUUGGAAGGCAUUUAUGUUACCACUACACCAAAGGUGC